UCGAUGUGGGGACGGAGAAGGUUAACUCAGCCAACUGUUGGAUGUGUUGGUUCAAGCAUGUAGUCGUGGCCCUUAGGCAAAUCCGGGGGUCUUAGAUGAGGUAUGAUAACGAGGCGGCUUGCCGCUGAAGUGAGUGAUACCCUGCUUCCAAGAAAAGCCACUAGGCUCUAGCUGCACACGACCGUACCGCAAACCGACACUGGUGCGCGAGAUGAGUAUUCUAAGGCGCUUGAGAGAACUCUGGAGAAGGAACUCGGCAAAUUGACACCGUAACUUCGGAAGAAGGUGUGCCUUUAGUAGGUGAACCAUUUACUUGGGAAGCCCAAUGAGGCCGCAGAGAAUCGGUGGCUGCGACUGUUUACUAAAAACACAGCACUCUGCAAAGACGAAAGUCGACGUAUAGGGUGUGACGCCUGCCCGGUGCUGGAAGAUUAAAUGAUGGGGUGCAAGCUCUUGAUUGAAGUCCCAGUAAACGGCGGCCGUAACUAUAACGGUCCUAAGGUAGCGAAAUUCCUUGUCGGGUAAGUUCCGACCUGCACGAAUGGCGUAACGAUGGCCACACUGUCUCCUCCAGAGACUCAGCGAAGUUGAAAUGUUUGUGAUGAUGCAAUCUCCCCGCGGAAAGACGGAAAGACCCCAUGAACCUUUACUGUAGCUUUACAUUGGACUUUGAACAGAUCUGUGUAGGAUAGGUGGGAGGCUUUGAAGCGGUGCCGCUAGGUGUCGUGGAGCCAACGUUGAAAUACCACCCUGGUGUGUUUGAGGUUCUAACCUUGGCCCGUUAUCCGGGUUGGGGACAGUGUAUGGUAGGCAGUUUGACUGGGGCGGUCUCCUCCCAAAGCGUAACGGAGGAGUUCGAAGGUACGCUAGGCACGGUCGGAAAUCGUGCUGAUAGUGCAUAGGCAUAAGCGUGCUUGACUGCGAGACUGACAAGUCGAGCAGGUACGAAAGUAGGACUAAGUGAUCCGGUGGUUCUGUAUGGAAGGGCCAUCGCUCAACGGAUAAAAGGUACUCUGGGGAUAACAGGCUGAUACCGCCCAAGAGUUCAUAUCGACGGCGGUGUUUGGCACCUCGAUGUCGGCUCAUCUCAUCCUGGGGCUGUAGCCGGUCCCAAGGGUAUGGCUGUUCGCCAUUUAAAGAGGUACGUGAGCUGGGUUUAAAACGUCGUGAGACAGUUUGGUCCCUAUCUUCCGUGGGCGCUGCAAGAUUGAGAGAGCCUGCUCCUAGUACGAGAGGACCGGAGUGGACGCACCUCUGGUGCAUCGGUUGUCACGCCAGUGGCAUAGCCGAGUAGCUAAGUGCGGAAGAGAUAACCGCUGAAAGCAUCUAAGCGGGAAACUCGUCUCAAGAUGAGUCUUGCCGGGGCCUUGAGCCCCCUGAAGAGUCGUUCGAGACCAGGACGUUGAUAGGCCGGGUGUGGAAGCGGAGUAUCCGUUAAGCUGACCGGUACUAAUUGCUCGUGCGGCUUGACCAU
This 1474-nucleotide ribosomal RNA is filed under the name metagenome. Its description in RNAcentral is "bacterial LSU rRNA". It matches the Rfam family "Bacterial large subunit ribosomal RNA", at positions 1461 to 2925 of the family's 2925-position model. The record is from RNAcentral.